GAUGAACGCUAGCGACAGGCCUAACACAUGCAAGUCGAGGGGCAGCAUUUCCAGCUUGCUGGAAGAUGGCGACCGGCGCACGGGUGAGUAACGCGUAUGCAACCUGCCUUAUACCGGGGGAUAGCCCAGAGAAAUCUGGAUUAAUACCGCAUAAUAAUUAGAAUCCGCAUGGACUUUAAUUUAAAACUCCGGUGGUAUAAGAUGGGCAUGCGUAACAUUAGCUGGUUGGUAAGGUAACGGCUUACCAAGGCAACGAUGUUUAGGGGGUCUGAGAGGAUAGUCCCCCACACUGGUACUGAGACACGGACCAGACUCCUACGGGAGGCAGCAGUGAGGAAUAUUGGUCAAUGGACGCAAGUCUGAACCAGCCAUGUCGCGUGCAGGAUGACGGCCCUAUGGGUUGUAAACUGCUUUUUUACAGGAAUAAUGUUAUCUACGCGUAGAUAUUUGAAGGUACUGUAGGAAUAAGGAUCGGCUAACUCCG
RNAcentral lists this ribosomal RNA (484 nucleotides) under uncultured Bacteroidales bacterium. RNAcentral's name for it is "bacterial SSU rRNA". It matches the Rfam family "Bacterial small subunit ribosomal RNA", at positions 28 to 505 of the family's 1533-position model. The record is from RNAcentral. Lineage: Bacteria; Pseudomonadati; Bacteroidota; Bacteroidia; Bacteroidales.